CCGUUUUGCCCAUUUCGCCGGUCCCAAAAAAAACCUAGCUCCAUAAAUUCACUGCCUUUUCAUUUUCUCCAGUUCCACUACUGCUACUACUGCUACAAUUUAAUGUUUAACUCUCCUCCCACCGCUGCAGAUCCAGAGCUUCCACUGCAGAGAUGAAGGUGGUGGCUGCAUAUUUACUGGCCGUGUUGGGAGGCAACACCUCCCCCUCCGCUGAGCAUAUCAAAGAUAUCCUCAUUUCUGUUGGAGCUUAUACUGAUGAUGAUAGGAUUAAAUUUCUUCUUUCUGAAGUUGAUGGUAAGGAUAUAACAGAACUUAUUGCUGCUGGUCGGGAGCAGUUGGCAUCAGUGCCUUCCGGCUGUGGUGUUGCUGUUGCCGCUGCUGCACCUGGUAGCGGUGGUGGUGCUGCCGCUGCUCCUGCUGCAGCUGAGGCAAAGAAGGAAGAAAAGAUGGAGGAGAAAGAGGAGUCAGAUGAGGACAUGGGCUUCAGUCUGUUCGAUUAAAGAGUUGAUUUGGUUAUAUCACCAUAAGUAUCCCUUUCUUCCUGAUUGAGAGCUUUUAACUGGGCAUUUAAUCGUCUUUUACAUUGGUAUAAUCCUUGAAUCAUAUGUUUUGAUAGAUGAGAUUUUUUUAUGAACUUCCUAUAAUUAAAUGGAUUUGUUCGGUGAAUUAUAAUUUUUUUUAAUCUCAAAAUUAAUUUUAUUAACCAAAUCCGGGGAAAACUUGAUAAUAUAGUCCCUUAUGCACCCAAGCUAAUAGGCCAGCCCCGUAUGGCUCAGUGAAAAUGAUCCCAAAUAACAAGACUAGCAUGCUGAAGAGAAGCCCUUGCAGGAUAAUGGGCCACCCUAUUUAGUGGUCUUUUAACCCAAGCAAUAGACAAACCUGUACCUUGGUUUAUAAGAAGCUUGCAAUCCUCAUUAAGAGCCAAAUUCGAACCAGUCAACCUCAUGCGAACAAAAAACACGUCCUGCGCAUCUACUGCCAUGAAAACAUUGCAAGGAAAGUGUCGCACUAACCAACUUAGUGCCUUCCGAAGAGCAAUCGCCUCAGCAAGUAUAGGAGAGAAACACUCCUACUUAUAAACCGAAGUAGCUAAAUCUGAUUGCCCCUCAUCAUUCCUCAACAAGGCACCGAAGCUUAUCCUAUUCUCCUUUCGAAAACAUGUAGCAUCCUAGAUCAACCAAAGCAUACCCGACGGAGGCAAGAUCCAGCACAUCGACACCACAGCCCCAUUCGUCGAGUCUUGCAAAGAUGAGGCAUUACCACUAGCUGCUUCCCACUCAUGAAGCAAGCGAAAAGAUUAACACCUCCUGUAAAGUUUGCAUUUGAAUGCUGGGAAGAUUUGGAUGCUGCUUUCAUUUUCCAUUUUGUUAUAAAUCUUUAGAUCAUUCUCCUGGGAAGCAAUAAUGUUUUAAUUUUGCUAUAAAUAGGAUUCGAUUAUGUUUCCGAAAGAUAUGAUCAGUUGCUAUCGAUCGAUAUUUGGAAUUUGGGAUUAUGUUUAUUAAGUGCCUGAAAUGACUGGUGCACUUUUUAAUGUUUGUGAGGAGCCAACAGCCGAUGAGUUGACGGUACU
RNAcentral lists this unclassified non-coding RNA (1570 nucleotides) under Hevea brasiliensis (rubber tree). Lineage: Eukaryota; Viridiplantae; Streptophyta; Magnoliopsida; Malpighiales; Euphorbiaceae. The record is from RNAcentral.